Molecule: microRNA, 21 nt
Filed under: Arabidopsis thaliana (thale cress)
Lineage: Eukaryota; Viridiplantae; Streptophyta; Magnoliopsida; Brassicales; Brassicaceae
Description: ath-miR426
Gene: ath-miR426
Source: miRBase by way of RNAcentral
UUUUGGAAAUUUGUCCUUACG